Molecule: ribosomal RNA, 371 nt
Filed under: uncultured bacterium
Lineage: Bacteria
Description: bacterial SSU rRNA
Rfam family: Bacterial small subunit ribosomal RNA
Source: RNAcentral
ACGUAGGGGGCUAGCGUUAUUCGGAAUUACUGGGCGUAAAGCGCACGUAGGCGGACCGGAAAGUUGGAGGUGAAAUCCCAGGGCUCAACCUUGGAACUGCCUUCAAAACUUCUGGUCUUGAGGUCGAGAGAGGUAAGUGGAAUUCCGAGUGUAGAGGUGAAAUUCGUAGAUAUUCGGAGGAACACCAGUGGCGAAGGCGGCUUACUGGCUCGAUACUGACGCUGAGGUGCGAAAGCGUGGGGAGCAAGCAGGAUUAGAUACCCUGGUAGACCACGCCGUAAACGAUGAAUGCCAGUCGUCGGCAAGCAUGCUUGUCGGUGACACACCUAACGGAUUAAGCAUUCCGCCUGGGGAGUACGGCCGCAAGGUUA